UUUAAUUUAAUGUAUUUCAUCCACACAAAUUACUAUUUUCAUGAUCAGAAUUCUGAGGAAUGGUAUCAUUCUUUGCUGAAUUAGCAACUUCAGUGGUUUGGUGUGGCUCUGAUGUGAUUCCCAUCUGACACAGUGCUGUGAAAACAAAGCAGGUGCCUCUUGGUCCAAUCUGUGAUCUGUUAGGUCUUGCUUCUUACCCACUGUGUUUCCAUCCCACUGCUAGGCAUGAGAUUUC
Molecule: long non-coding RNA, 235 nt
Filed under: Gallus gallus (chicken)
Lineage: Eukaryota; Metazoa; Chordata; Aves; Galliformes; Phasianidae
Source: RNAcentral